AACAUUGAUAUCUUGGAUUACUGGAGCAAGUCUGCAGCUAGGUAUCCGCAGCUAGCAAGAUUGGCACGUGAUAUCCUUGUUGUUCCCGUGUCAAGUGUUGCAUCAGAAUCUGCUUUCAGCUUGAGUAAAAAGGUUAUAACCCCGAGCCGAGCCUCACUUAAACCAAAGAUGGUUGAGGCCUUGAUGUGUUUGCAAGAUUGGUAUCGCUGCAAAUUGGAGAAGAAAGAUGGUAAUAAGAGAAAGGCGGAAGUGGUUGAGCUAGAUGAUGAAAAUUCUUCUUCCGAUGAUGAAUAGUUCUUGCUAGAGCAAUGAGAUGAGUAGAAGAUUCGGAGAAGGCAUGUCGAGAUGGCAACCAGCAGCUACUGGUCCUUAUUUUUGGUUCUAUGAAUUGGCCAUCUAGCGUGUAAUAAUACAUUUAUGCACUUG
Molecule: non-coding RNA, 426 nt
Organism: Triticum urartu
Lineage: Eukaryota; Viridiplantae; Streptophyta; Magnoliopsida; Poales; Poaceae
Source: RefSeq, a predicted model, not a curated record